AUUGAACGCUGGCGGCAGGCCUAACACAUGCAAGUCGAGCGGUAGAGAGAAGCUUGCUUCUCUUGAGAGCGGCGGACGGGUGAGUAAUGUCUAGGAAUCUGCCUGGUAGUAGGGGAUAACGUUCGGAAACGGACGCUAAUACCGCAUACGCCCUACAGGAGAAAGCAGGGGACCUUCGGGCCUUGCGCUAUCAGAUGAGCCUAGGUCGGAUUAGCUAGUUGGUGAGGUAAUGGCUCACCAAGGCGACGAUCCGUAACUGGUCUGAGAGGAUGAUCAGUCACACUGGAACUGAGACACGGUCCAGACUCCUACGGGAGGCAGCAGUGGGGAAUAUUGGACAAUGGGCGAAAGCCUGAUCCAGCCAUGCCGCGUGUGUGAAGAAGGUCUUCGGAUUGUAAAGCACUUUAAGUUGGGAGGAAGGGUUGUAGAUUAAUACUCUGCAAUUUUGACGUUACCGACAGAAUAAGCACCGGCUAACUCUGUGCCAGCCGCCGCAGUAA
RNAcentral lists this ribosomal RNA (500 nucleotides) under uncultured bacterium. RNAcentral's name for it is "partial 16S ribosomal RNA". It matches the Rfam family "Bacterial small subunit ribosomal RNA", at positions 30 to 523 of the family's 1533-position model. The record is from RNAcentral.